Molecule: ribosomal RNA, 381 nt
Filed under: uncultured Tychonema sp.
Lineage: Bacteria; Bacillati; Cyanobacteriota; Cyanophyceae; Oscillatoriales; Microcoleaceae
Description: bacterial SSU rRNA
Rfam family: Bacterial small subunit ribosomal RNA
Source: RNAcentral
GCGAAAGCCUGACGGAGCCAGACCGCGUGAGGGAAGAAGGCCCGUGGGUUGUAAACCUCUUUUCUCAGGGAAGAAAAAAAUGACGGUACCUGAGGAAUCAGCCUCGGCUAACUCCGUGCCAGCAGCCGCGGUAAGACGGAGGAUGCAAGCGUUAUCCGGAAUGGUUGGGCGUAAAGCGUCCGCAGGUGGCAGUUCAAGUCUGCUGUCAAAGACCGGAGCUUAACUUCGGAAAGGGAGUGGAAACUGAACAGCUAGAGUAUGGUAGGGGCAGAGGGAAUUCCUGGUGUAGCGGUGAAAUGCGUAGAUAUCAGGAAGAACACCGGUGGCGAAAGCGCUCUGCUGGGCCGUAACUGACACUCAUGGACGAAAGCUAGGGGAGCG